AUUGAACGCUGGCGGCAGGCCUAACACAUGCAAGUCGAGCGGAUGAAGGGAGCUUGCUCCUGGAUUCAGCGGCGGACGGGUGAGUAAUGCCUAGGAAUCUGCCUGGUAGUGGGGGAUAACGUCCGGAAACGGGCGCUAAUACCGCAUACGUCCUGAGGGAGAAAGUGGGGGAUCUUCGGACCUCACGCUAUCAGAUGAGCCUAGGUCGGAUUAGCUAGUUGGUGGGGUAAAGGCCUACCAAGGCGACGAUCCGUAACUGGUCUGAGAGGAUGAUCAGUCACACUGGAACUGAGACACGGUCCAGACCCCUACGGGAGGCAGCGGUGGGGAAUAUUGGACAAUGGGCGAAAGCCUGAUCCAGCCAUGCCGCGUGUGUGAAGAAGGUCUUCGGAUUGUAAAGCACUUUAAGUUGGGAGGAAGGGCAGUAAGUUAAUACCUUGCUGUUUUGACGUUACCAACAGAAUAAGCACCGGCUAACUUCGUG
Molecule: ribosomal RNA, 484 nt
Filed under: uncultured bacterium
Lineage: Bacteria
Description: partial 16S ribosomal RNA
Rfam family: Bacterial small subunit ribosomal RNA
Source: RNAcentral